RNAcentral lists this non-coding RNA (24 nucleotides) under Rattus norvegicus (Norway rat). The record is from RNAcentral. Lineage: Eukaryota; Metazoa; Chordata; Mammalia; Rodentia; Muridae.
UGGCUCUAGGUAAAUGAAUUGGAU